AUUCCAAUCGAACUCGGAGAUAGCUGGUUCUCCCCGAAAUAGCUUUAGGGCUAGCCUCAUGUUAGAUAUCCGGAGGUAAAGCACUGAAUGGCCUAGCGUCCGAGAGGAUAGCGAAGCCUAUCAAACUAAGAAUGCCGGAAUAUUGAUGCAUGGGAGUCAGACAGUGUGAGAUAAAUCUCAUUGUCAAAAGGGAAACAGCCCAGAUCUACAGCUAAGGUCCCAAAUUGUAUCUAAGUGGAAAACGAUGUGGAAAUACGCAGACAACCAGGAUGUUGGCUCAGAAGCAGCCACUCAUUUAAAGAGUGCGUAAUAGCUCACUGGUCGAGCGUCUCUGCGCGGAAAAUUUAACGGGGCUAAGAUACAAACCGAAGCUUAGGCUGCACUUUUAGUGCGGGGUAGGGGAGCGUUGUGUAAGCGGAGAAACAGUAGCGUAAGCGGCUGUGGAGUUUACAGAAGUGAGAAUGCCGGAAUGAGUAGCGCGAAUGAUGUGAGAAUCAUCAUGGCCGGAAACCUCAGGUUUUUGGAGGAAGGUUCGUCCGCUCCAAGUUAGGCGGGAGCUAAGGUGAGGCCGAAAGGCGUAGCCGAUGCACAGACGGUAGAGAUUCCGUCCCCACCGAAAGAUUUAAGCGCAGGGACACUUUUAGAAGGUCGGAGCCAGGUGUUGGUUCUGGUAGAGAUCGAGGGAAAUUUAGUACCGAAGUCCGGCUGGAUAAGAGGCGAGAAAAGCUGCGUGUAUAUCUAAGGUGCCCGUACCGCAAACCGACACAGGUAGGUAGGAAGAAGAUUCUAAGGCCAACGGGAGAAGGGUUGUUAAGGAACUCGGCAAGUUGACCCCGUAACUUCGGAAUAAGGGGUGCUCAUGAAAGUGAGCCGCAGAGAAUAGGCCCAGGCAACUGUUUACCAAAAACACAGGUUUGUGCUAAAUCGAAAGAUGACGUAUACGAGCUGACGCCUGCCCGGUGCUGGAAGGUUAAAAGGAGAUGUGCAAGCAUUGAAUUGAAGCCCCAGUGAACGGCGGCCGUAACUAUAACGGUCCUAAGGUAGCGAAAUUCCUUGUCAGGUAAGUUCUGACCCGCAUGAAAGGCGUAAUGAUCUGGGCACUGUCUCAACAGCCCGCCCGGCGAAAUUGUAGUACCGGUGAAGAUGCCG
This 1149-nucleotide ribosomal RNA is filed under the name human gut metagenome. RNAcentral's name for it is "bacterial LSU rRNA". It matches the Rfam family "Bacterial large subunit ribosomal RNA", at positions 826 to 2064 of the family's 2925-position model. The record is from RNAcentral.